UCAGGAUGAACGCCGGCGGUGUGCCUAAUACAUGCAAGUCGAACGCGUUGGCCCAACUGAUUGACGGUGCUUGCACUUGAUUGACGUUGGUUUACCAACGAGUGGCGGACGGGUGAGUAACACGUAGGCAACCUGCCCCGAAGCGGGGGACAACAUCUGGAAACAGGUGCUAAUACCGCAUAACAACUUUGACCGCCUGGUCAAAGUUUAAAAGAUGGUUUCGGCUAUCACUUCGGGAUGGGCCUGCGGCGCAUUAGCUUGUUGGUGGGGUAACGGCCUACCAAGGCGAUGAUGCGUAGCCGAGUUGAGAGACUGAUCGGCCACAAUGGGACUGAGACACGGCCCAUACUCCUACGGGAGGCAGCAGUAGGGAAUCUUCCACAAUGGGCGCAAGCCUGAUGGAGCAACACCGCGUGAGUGAAGAAGGGUUUCGGCUCGUAAAGCUCUGUUGUUGAAGAAGAACG
This 464-nucleotide ribosomal RNA is filed under the name Lactobacillus sp. P459. RNAcentral's name for it is "bacterial SSU rRNA". It matches the Rfam family "Bacterial small subunit ribosomal RNA", at positions 24 to 451 of the family's 1533-position model. The record is from RNAcentral. Lineage: Bacteria; Bacillati; Bacillota; Bacilli; Lactobacillales; Lactobacillaceae.